This 69-nucleotide transfer RNA is filed under the name Sarcophilus harrisii (Tasmanian devil). It matches the Rfam family "tRNA". Rfam says of the family: Transfer RNA (tRNA) molecules are approximately 80 nucleotides in length. Their secondary structure includes four short double-helical elements and three loops (D, anti-codon, and T loops). Further hydrogen bonds mediate the characteristic L-shaped molecular structure. tRNAs have two regions of fundamental functional importance: the anti-codon, which is responsible for specific mRNA codon recognition, and the 3' end, to which the tRNAs corresponding amino acid is attached (by aminoacyl-tRNA synthetases). tRNAs cope with the degeneracy of the genetic code in two manners: having more than one tRNA (with a specific anti-codon) for a particular amino acid; and 'wobble' base-pairing, i.e. permitting non-standard base-pairing at the 3rd anti-codon position. Lineage: Eukaryota; Metazoa; Chordata; Mammalia; Dasyuromorphia; Dasyuridae. The record is from Rfam by way of RNAcentral.
GAGAGCUUAGCUUAAUUAAAGUGUUGGAUUUGCAUUCCAGUGAUGCAAGAUAAAGUCUUGUAAUUCUUA